AGAUUUUCGUAUAGGUAUAUGUACAUACGUAUUUUAAUUAAAAGUAGAAAAUAUUGUAUUCAUUAUUUAAAAUCACAGUCAAGAAAAUACGCUGUUGUUAGAAAGAUAUUGUUUUUGAAUUUCAUUAACUUGUAGUUUCUUACAAAUUGACCCCUAGAAGUCAACUGGGUGUUCGAAAAAAUUUACGUAUAUUUUAUAUUAUGUAUAUGAGGGCUAAUCGUGAUAUUGAUCCCAUUUUCACAUUGCCAUCACAAAAAUAUUCUCCCUGAAUUUCAAUAUUAGAAUUCUCAGAUUGAUUGUUCGCUAAAAAAUCAGCUAAAUGCACUGGGGUCCAGAUAUUUGGCGUCUGAGUCCUUGAAAAGUUAUAGUUCGUUUUCCACAAUUUUUGGUCAUAAGAUUAAAUAACUUUAAGGCACUAGUUGUGCAGUUGUUUUUUAAGAGAAGUGGGCGUGGUUGUUGUCCAAUUUCGACAAUUUUCAUAGUGUAUGAUAGAAAUGGUUGGAUUACUUUACACACCAAAUUUUGUUAAAAUUGGUUGGUUAGUUUCUGAGAUAUACGAUUUCACCUAAAGGUGGGUGGAGCCACGUCCAUUGUCUAAUUUUUACACCCAAACUUAUAAAGCUCUUCCCCACCAUCUUAGUUGUAAGGCUUGUGGCGCAUUUAUUCAGUGAGUUAUCGCACUUAUAGUAGUUUUCAACAUAACCCUUAUAUGGAUAGGCGUGAUUAUUAUCUGAUUUUAUCCGUAAGAAGAAGUACUAGAAACACUUCUUCCCAUUAAGUUUGGUAGACGUCCGGUGUGUUUAACGUGAGUACCUGCCAUCGACGGCCUUAUCUCACCGUGCUCAAAAGCACAGCAUAUUAAAACAAUGCGUUGAUCAGCGCUCCGAAAAUGCCAGGCAUUUUUCAGUACCGAUUGGUAGUGUGGAAUGGAAACACUACACACCUUGGUGAGGUUCGAGGCCUAUCUAAAACCUUUGCCGUACUUUGGGUCCGGCACCCGGUUGCAAUGUAACUCCACAUUCAACUGACAAAACGUCAGUUCUUCCCGAAUUUGGGUAUAAACCACAACCACCACUAUACUCCCCGAAGGUCCAGUCCGCAUGAGCAGGUUGGAACGAACUCCAAGGGCCCUUUCUCCCCGUGGUACCAGAAUUAAGUCUCCGGUCAAAUCUCGUAGCCGAAGCUACUACCAGUUGAGCCUCCAUACAGCUCUGGACUGGUAACCAAGGGUUGAACCCCAUACGCACAUUACUCGCACACACCUUUCACACAAGAAGCUAAACCUAAUUCUCAGUUAAACGCCACCGCUGCCUAAACAACUCACCCGCAAACGACCUGUUCGGCAUUCCGACUAGUGGAGAUCACACCGCUGACAUCUAACAUCCCGAUCGUUAGGACUAUUGUCCCAACGGUCUUGCCACCUACUCCUAACCUCUUGCCCCUAGAAAUCCCUCCCUCUCCACAUCAUUUUCGGAAAUCGAAGUAAGUUUGGUAGAGUUAACUUCAGUGGUUUGGAAAAUAUGUACAUUAAACCAUUUAGAGGGUGGGGUCACGCCAACUACGCUCAUCUGCAUUAACGACCUCUUUUGGGUGCCAAGGGAAAAUAUAUAACAAGUUCCUCACUUUUAGUCAAGUUAUCGCUUGCACGGACAGACUGAUGGACAAAUAGUCAACCGGAUUUCAACGUGAUCAUUUAUAUAUACAAUAAUAUAUAUGUGUAUAUAUAACUCUAUAUCUAUCUUUAUAAGUUUUAUAUGAUACAAACAAUCGUGUGGUGAACAAAACUAGUAUACUCUGGCGCAACAUGUUGCUAGAGUAUAAUAAUUUAGAAAAUCUGUAAAAAAUUGUUUGUUUUUAAAAAAAAAGCCUUCAAUUACAUAUCUUGAUUUCUUCCACCAAGGUCUAAUUACUCCUAAAAAUAAAUAAGCACAACUGCUAUCUAACAUAUUAUUAGCCUAAAGUAACAAAUUAUUUUCAAUAUCAAAGUAAAUUAUAAAAAUAUUUUUUCAAGUUGUUCUUUUAAUUAUAUAUAACAUUAUUUUUUGCUUUAUGUCCUUAUGUAUAUAUAAAAUUUGUGUGUACACAUUUUUGGAAUAUCGAAAAAUACAAAAAUACUGUGUAUGUAUGUAUUUUGUAACAUAAAUAUUGUUUAACUUAAAUUUUUACACUUACGUACAACAAAAAUGUAAGUAAAACGGAAACAGCGAAAUAAAUUAACUUUUGCUCAUACUACUACAUUUUAAGAUUAUGCGUUUAAGUGGAUUAUACAUUUCACGUACAUAGGUAUGUACCUCAGUGUGUAUAUGGAUGUAUAUGUUAGCUGUUAAGCAAAUAAACUUUUGCUCGCUACAGCGACAAAUUGGGUCAAUAUCUCCCAAAUGAGCACCGAAACAUAAGUGUAAUAGCAAAAUACAUAAGCAUAUACAUAUAUACAUACACAUAAGCGAGUAUAUAUAAAUAACAUUUUAAGUAUCUCUAUUGUUAUACUAUAUACUAUAUAGUAAAAGUGUAUAUAAGUAACGCAUUGUUGUAAAAACAUAUAAAAUUUGCGCAUAUUUAAAUAUAUAUAAGCUAUUUAUUUAUAUACAUUAUCUUAGUUAGUAUAUGCGUAUAAAUAUACUUAUAUUUAAUAUUUAUUUUGCAGAGUCCAAUGUCUGUUAGGGUGCAUUUAAAUACUUUAUCUAUACAAACAUUUAUUUUUUUACAUACAAUUAAUUUUCGCCGCAAAGUUUUUAGUAUUUUCUUUGCCUUCACAUUUUGAAAUAAUAAAUAUUAAAACUUAUAAGCAUAUAAGCAUAUAACCCUCUUGCACAUUUCAAAGUACUGCAAGUGCCCUCAUCCAGUGCAACAGUACCGUAACCACAAUAUCAACCAAACACUUUAACCCUUACGCUCCGCCAGGACCCCGAAAUGGCAUGUGAUUUUUUUAUGCAUAUUUUUUAUAAUUUUGCAACUUUCUCUUAUUAACUUUUUUUUUAAAUUUUUCUCAAAUAUUUUCAUUCCCUUACGAAAUUUCUCCCGUUUACCGCCCGCAUACGUUUACUCUAUGUUUUUUGCAGUUUCUUCCCCUCAAAGUAAAUAGAAAAUAAUUAUUAUUAAAUUGUUUUGCCUGUUUGUAUAUAAUAAAUUGUUGAUAUAAAAAGUGCAUAAAAUAUUUGCAAAAUGUUUUCCAAAAUGUUUGUGAAAUUUAAAACGAAAUGAUAUGAAAUUUAAGUUCCAACGGAUUUUCGCAGUUCGCUAGAAUCCGUUAAAAAAUAUUGCAAUUUACUGGCAACGGAAGUGCAGUAACAACAACAUUAGCGUGUAGCUAGCAAUUAAAUUUCAGAGUAACCCCAAAUGCCCGAAGCUCUGACACUGCCCGGCAUGGCUGAUGCGGAGCCAGAUUUGUCAACGUUCGAGAAUAAGACCGGCUUAGCCGAGGAUAUGAAAUUUCUGGCAUCGAUGCCAGAGUUGUGCGAUGUGACAUUUUUAGUUGGAGAUACGCGUGAACCAGUAUGCGCGGUUAAGGCUGUUUUGGCAUCACGUUCGCGUGUCUUCGCAAAAAUGCUGUACUCGGCGCCAUCGCCGCAACGUAAACGUGAAGCAUCGACCAAAGAGAAUAAAUUGCGGCUUUUCCUUAAGCGCUCAUCGGAGCCACUGUUGAAUCUACAAAAUGCGGCACAACAGCCGGCUGGACAGCAACAUCAGACCUUGAUUAUUGAGGAGUUCGAACCGGAUGUUUUCAGGCAACUGAUAGAGUACAUACACACCGGUUGUGUGACGUUGCAGCCGAGAACACUUUUAGGCGUCAUGAACGCGGCAGAUUAUUAUGGCUUGGAGGAAUUGCGGCGCGCUUGUGCUGGCUUUGUGCAGUGUUGCAUCAAUGUGGACACUGUCUGUGCGUUGCUUGCGUCUGCCGAACGUUACAUCCAAUACAAGUGUACCAAGAGUCUCGUACAAAAAGUGCUGGAGUUUGUGGACGAGCAUGGUAAUGAGGUACUUAAUUUGGGCAGCUUUACGUUGCUGCCACAGCAUGUGGUACGUCUAAUAUUGGCGCGUGAGGAGUUGCGCGCCGACGAGUUUACUAAGUUUCAAGCGGCACUGAUGUGGAGUAAGAAGUAUUUCGACAACAAUCCGAAUAUUGAUAUGAAGGAGAUUUUAGGCAACUUUCUGGAGUACAUUCAGUUCCACAAAAUUCCGGCGAAUGUACUGAUGCGUGAGAUACAUCCACUGGGUUUGGUGCCAUACUCGAUCAUUAUGAACGCUUUGGCCUAUCAGGCAGACCCAGAAAGCAUCGACCCCGGAAAGCUGUCUCCCAACUCUAGUCGAGUGAGGCGUGCGCGUCAAAAUCAAGGCAGAUCGAUGUCCGUACAGAGUUCCUUGGACCCCUACGGUUCGAAUACAACAUUGAGUUCAAGCGGCAGCAGCGACCCCACCAGCGGCCCGCACAAUAGCAACUAACAUAAGUUGAACGGCCCCUCCUCCUCUUCCACCCACCAUUCAUCCUCGCAUGGCCGUCAUAAGCACCAUCAAUCAUUACCAAAAAUUCGCAAAGCCAAAUCACAGAGUUUCCGCACCCGACGCAGUCCAUCUGAGCGCCGUAGCCCAAAUGCCGCACCAAUGUUUGGUCAAGCGGCAAAUUUGACAUUAAACACCGCCCAAUUGGCGGCCAAUGAUAAGAAACGUAGCCCACUUACACCAAAGAGUCCCAUACUACCACAACCUGAAUCGAAAAGUCCGGGCAGUACUUCACAGAAAACGCCGACAACAUUAUCCCGACAGGGCACAUUACGUGCUUCACAUCGCCGCAAGAACAGUAUGACUGGAUCAUUAGUGCUAGUUCAAGGGCGUCGCAGUCCAGUAGGCUUUAAUGACCGCAGUCCGCAAGGACGUCGCAGUCCACUGAUUAUGUCCAAUGAUCGCCUCAAGUCACCGAAUGAGUUGCCUGUACAGCCUAUGUUCGGUUUGGGGCUGCAUAGUCCGACCGCGCGUAGUCCUACAGGAGGUGCACGUAGUCCGACGCUAAGCAUGCAUACACAGGAACGACGAUCGCCCAUCGGUGCCGCGGCGCCUGUAGAAUUUGGCCAGCCACGUCGCAGUCCCACUUCAACUGUGCAUGUGCAGGAUGCACACUAUGAAGAGGGGGAGGCUGAUGAGAAUGGUUUAGUGCGUUCAAGCAGUGGCAUAAAGCGGCCAUCAAUCAAUCUUUUCACACCUAUUUAUUUCGGUGGCGAUAAACGUAGUCCCCUAACAGCUAUGCCUAUACCACCAAUCACUGUAUCCAAUCCAACGGAAACUGGCAGAUUAGCUGAAAAAAUUGCAGAAUCAAAUGCAGCGGCCGAAGCGGCACGCGAACUGGAAAGGCAACGUGAAGAACAAGAGAAACAAGAAGCGGCAGCCGCGGCUAAAGAAUCAACACCUGAGAAAAAAGAACGCACAAGUGUUAUGAAGGAAAUACUUGCCUUUGUACGUAAGCCAUCUAAGCAUAUUUCUACGCGUACUAAUCGUUUCGCUCAUGCUUUCACACGUGCCGAGUCUGGCUCGUCAUCAGGCCCGUUGAUUAGACAGAGUACUUUCUCAGCUAGUCCGGCCGCUUCAUCAACUGCUGCGAAAAGUGCGGUCGUUAAGCAAAUGUCCGAAGUUGCAUUCGAACCGAAGAUGUCAUUGAAAUUCGCACACUACGCAAAAAUGUCACUAAAAUUACGUCGAUCUGCCAACGACGAAAAGGCGAAGCAAGCAGCUGCAGCCAGCACAUCGAAGCGCGCCAGCGCCGACUCUAAUUUCAGUAGUAGCGGCUUGGAUCCACAUGAUGCACAGUUCUAGAACACAGCACAUCACUACACUAUCAGCCAACAAUUGUUUAUAAAUGUUAACAAAAACAAAAAAAUAUUUACAAUUGUGAAAAAUUACUAUAGCAAGAGUAUAAAGAACGCAAACAGUAAACAAAUUUUACAGUAUAUAUAUAAAGACCUAAAAUAAUUAUGAAAAAUAUUAGAAAAAUAGUUUAAAAUCAAAUGUUUAUCGUUUAACAGAAAUUUAUAGUAAAAUAUACACAAAUAAAUAAUGAAAUGUUGUAUUAGUUUGUUUUGCCAAACCACACGCUUCAGUUUAGUAAAUUGAACUUGUCGAAAUUUUUCAAACAAAUUUCAAAAACAUGCGCCUAAAUGUAGACUACAACAUUGGCACGCUUCUCACGUAGUGUUUUGCUUGAGCUAAGCUUGUUUAGGCUAGUUGCCUGCUGUAGUGCACUUUUCGGCUAAUUCGCUUAUGAGCAAGCUGAAUGCUUAAUAAGUUCAGUUCUUGUUCAUUUUAUUUGUGUGUAAAAUUUGGAAAAUUGCUUGGGCUGCAAGUAGCUGCUAUUAUUCUUUUGUUUUGAUAUUUUAAACGCAAUUUACUUUGUAGUGUGCAUUGCUGUGGUAUUUAUUCUUAUUUAGUUGAUCGAAUAAUAUAUAAAUAUAUUUCUUUUUGCUAGAAAAUUCAAUCUCUUAUAAAAGCUAAGCAAGAUCAUAUUAUUUGUAUUAUUUUUUUUGAUGAUUUAAAAAACUUUAGUUUAUUUAAUAAGAUUAAUACUUUUUUCUUUGGAUUUGCCAAACCUGUCGAAGUGGCGAAUCGAAGGUACAAUAGCUCGUAUUAAUUUAUUUGAUACGAUUUUACUUUAUUUAUUUAUUUUAUUUCAUUUAGUUUUAUUAUAUUAAAUUCGUCUCUAAGAUUGUAACAACUAAAAGGAAACUUCGACCCUUUAAAUUAUAUAUUAUGUAACUAUAAUUCAUAAACUUGAUGAGCUGAGUCAACUUACCCAGUUCCGUCUGUCCGUCGUCUGUUUGUCUGUAUAUAUGUGAACUAGUUUUUCGGCUUUUUAGAUAUAAAGCUGAAAGUUUACACAGGACCUUUUAUUUUUAAGAAGUAAAAUCAAGUCCUUGUAUGGAUAACCUUUUUAUUUGACGAGAUAUCUUCAAGAUAUUUAGCUGGAGUUAUUUUGCAAAACAAUUAUACAAUUGCCGCAAAAAUUGUUCAGAUCGAACAAUUAUAAAAUAUAGCUGUUAUACAAAAUGAACUAUCGAAGCAAGUGCUUGUAAGGAAAACCUUUUCAGUUGAGAAGAUAUAUUCACGAAAUUUGACAUAUAUUUUUUUUCACGGCAGUGUUACAAUCUGCGAACAAAUUGCUUAGAUCGGACAACUAUAACAGAUAGCUGCCAUAAACUGAACGAUAAAAAUCAAGUUAUCAAGUUAUUAUUUCUUUUGUUUAUUUAUUUAAAUUUAAUAGAUUAUAGAAGAUUAAGUCCUUGUAUUUUAUUCUGUUUUAUUUUACUUAAUUUCGUUUUAUAUUAUUUUAUUUUACUUAAUUUAAUUUAAUCUUAUUUUAUUUAAUUAAAUUUUAUUUAAUUUGAUUAAAUUUUCCUUUUUUUUAUUUAAUUUUAUUUAUUUUAAUUUAAUUUAAUUUAAUUUUGUUUUGUUUUAUUUUAUUUUAAUUACUUUUUUUAUUUUAUUAUAAUUUAAUUUAUUUUACAUAAUUUUAUUUUUUUACCUGAUUUUAUUUUAUUUUAUAUAAUUUUAUUUUAUAUAACUUUAUUUUAUAUUUAUCUAAAUAUUAUCUAUUUAAUAUAUUUUUGUUUUGCAAUUAUAACAUGUUUUAUUAGCAUUUCCAAUUAUAAUAAAAAAGUGAGGUUACAAGGAGUUCAUAAAACUAAUAAUUCUGCAUUUGCAACACAAAAUCUGCUUUCAAAACACAUUUGUCUGUCGUCGUAGACCAUUUUUGUACAUAAACAAUUUAUAAAACAUGAAUUCUCCUUCUAUUUGCAGACAAGCAAAUUUUCCAAUCAAAUUUGUUGCUGGAAAAACGUGUGGACUAUUAUUAUUUUGCUUAUAUAUAUUAUAACAGUAAACAAAAGUAGCAAUAACUCUCUAAUUGUAAAAUAUUCCAUAAAAAAAAAAUUGUUUAAUAACGGUAAUUUUAAAUUGAAACGUAAACUAACAGAGAAAAAUAUAUCAUAAAAAUAAAAAAUGGCUACAACCAAUUUAAAUCAUAGUUGUUAUUCUAAAAGUUUGAUUGGCAGCCGUUAAAACUGUAAAUAACUGUUUAUGUGUAAAUUUAUUAAAUAAUAAAAAUUAUUGUUACUUCACAGUUCAUAACCAAAAAAAUCAAAAAAAAAAAAAAAAAAAUUUUGACUCUGCGUUUUGUAUUUUACCCUGUUAAUUGACAUCGUCGUUGUUGUUGGCGUACUGAUUUAGCAACUUAGCUAUAAAGUGAGAGUAACAAAAAAAUCAAAGUAGGAAAAGUAUGUACAUGAAAAUAAAAGUUGGAAUACUAAGAUUGCCAAUAUAAAAUUUAUUUAUAUAACUCAAAAUUCACACAAAUAGUGACGAAUCGUAUUUGUAAGUGAGAGCAAGAUCGCAGGUUUUAGGUACUGGGAAUUUGCUUUGCGGAAAACUCAUAAAUAUUUAUUUCAUAAAAUCUCAUAACAAAAUAUACACACAUUUAUAUAUAUAUAUAUAUUAUAGAGUUGGUAAUGAAGAAUGUAACAGUAAAUACAAUAUUAAAAAAAAAAUUUAAAAAGAAGGUAUGUAAUUAAGAGUAGAUAUAUUUUAAAAAUCAUUAAAGGAGCAUCAAAGCCCUACACUUUAUCACCAUUGUAAUGAAAAAUGGUUUAUUGAAAGUAUUAUUAUGAAAUUAUGCAAUACUUUAUAUGUAUUUAUGGAUAACUAUUGACGAAGCUGUGCUGAAAUUACAACAAAAACAAAAAUAACUCAAAUGUAUGUUUUUUGAAGCAAAUAAAAUUUUGUCGUUUUUAAAUG
Molecule: non-coding RNA, 8772 nt
Organism: Bactrocera oleae (olive fruit fly)
Lineage: Eukaryota; Metazoa; Arthropoda; Insecta; Diptera; Tephritidae
Source: RefSeq, a predicted model, not a curated record